RNAcentral lists this long non-coding RNA (213 nucleotides) under Elaeis guineensis (African oil palm). RNAcentral describes it as "long non-coding RNA (EGUI_LNC067446)". The record is from RNAcentral. Lineage: Eukaryota; Viridiplantae; Streptophyta; Magnoliopsida; Arecales; Arecaceae.
CUCAAGAUGUGCUUUAGUCUUGGUUGGCUAAAUCAUUUAGUCAGUGAGCCUGCCACAUUUUUAUGGGGUCUACUCUGAUCCUUGAAGUCUUACUUCUUGGAAUAGUCGUGAAUCAUCACUCUUAUGUGUUAAGAACUCUGGUGAGACCUUGGAUCCUUAGCUAGAGCUAUGGCAUCUAUGUUGCCACAGUAUAGUGUUGUGUCAUCUCAUGAC